This 253-nucleotide ribosomal RNA is filed under the name uncultured bacterium. RNAcentral describes it as "partial 16S ribosomal RNA". It matches the Rfam family "Bacterial small subunit ribosomal RNA", at positions 524 to 776 of the family's 1533-position model. The record is from RNAcentral.
UACGUAUGGAGCAAGCGUUAUCCGGAUUUACUGGGUGUAAAGGGAGCGUAGGCGGUAAGGCAAGUCUGAUGUGAAAGGCCAGGGCUCAACCCUGGGACUGCAUUGGAAACUGUUUAACUAGAGUGUCGGAGAGGCAAGUGGAAUUCCUAGUGUAGCGGUGAAAUGCGUAGAUAUUAGGAGGAACACCAGUGGCGAAGGCGGCUUGCUGGACGAUGACUGACGCUGAGGCUCGAAAGCGUGGGGAGCAAACAGG